GAGAUGAUUCCACAAUGUUCAAUGUAUAUUUUCAUGUACAUUGUUCUUAGGUGAGGCUAUAAGAGGAUCAAAUGUAAUAAAAGAGAAAGGGGAGUCUUCGCCUUCAUGGCUUGGUUCAAUUUUUAAGGUUGUCAAAUCUAUGACUUAGGUCACAGGUUUGAUCCUCGCACAAUGCAGACUAGACCUGGUAUUUAAGUAUAGAAGGAUAAACGGGCAGACAUACUCU
Molecule: unclassified non-coding RNA, 226 nt
Filed under: Hevea brasiliensis (rubber tree)
Lineage: Eukaryota; Viridiplantae; Streptophyta; Magnoliopsida; Malpighiales; Euphorbiaceae
Source: RNAcentral